CAUUAUUUCCUCUCUCUUAUUUUACUUUCAUCACUCUCUCUUCUCCCUCCCCCAAGCCACCGGCUGCCUGUCGCUACUGCCGGAAAUCGCCCACCGGCGGCGGCUGACCUCCAAUCCGACCUAAAAUUUUACUAUGUAAUCUCCACCACCUGCUCUUUCCAUAUCUUCAAACCAAAUCCUUCAGAAAACUCUCAAGCUCCGUGAAUCUUUGAUCUAAGAAACUUUCCCGUCACUUUUUCGCCCAAGUUAUUGAAGUUCUGGCUACUACCACCCAAUAAUACAUACAUCAACAGAUAGGUCUCCUCAAGACCUAGCUAUUGAUGUCAAUUCUACCUCAAAAAUCCAUCCUUCUUGGUACACCACCAUUUUUCCGGCCAUUUGAAUUAAAAUGGUAAAAUACUUUAUUUUUCGUGGUUGAUUUUUAUUUUUUAUUUUUAAUUUUCAGAUUUUUAUUUUUGUUUAUUAUUUAUUUUAGCAUUAUUUUUUGAAGUUUUAAAUAUUAAAUUUUUUGUUUAUAGAUUUUAAUCUGUAUAGUCGAUUGAAGAUAUGUCGUCAAUUAGUUCUUCAGGUUCGAAUGAUAGAACAUCAUGAAUAUAUAUAUAUAUAUAUAUAUAUAUAUAUAUUUCAGUUGAUAUUAAGUGCUUGAACGUCUAGUUGAUAUUCAGUUUUACUCGUAUUUUCAAUUCCUUUUGUUUGGUGUCAUGUCUGAUUAGACUGCCUUGAAUCAUUGUUAGAAUAGGAUUAAGGAUUGGUUAUAGCUGCUUAAUUAUAAAUUAGUUUUGUUAAUUAGGCUUGAACAGAUUUUAGAAUCUGUCAUUUGAAUUAGGGCAGUAAUUUCAGAAGUUUCAGGGGUACUUUGGGAUUUAAAAAAAAGAAUAAAAAUAAUUAGUUAAAUAUUGUGUCCAGUAGUGCUAAUGUAACAUUAAAUAACGAAUUGUUUAAUACAUAGUGGGGACAAUACAUAAUUAUGUAAAGAGUGGGUAACAAUGUGAUGAUGUUCAGUUUUACUCGUAUUUUCAACUCAUUUUGUUUGGUGCGAUGUCUGACUAAACUGCCUUGAAUUGUUGUUUGAGUUUGAUUAAGAAUUGGUUAUAGUUGCUAUAUUUUGGUUAAUUGAUUUGGGUGACUUUAUUAUAGCUGAUAGGGGUAGAGUAGUAAUUUUCAGUAAUUUCGGAGGGUAUUUUUGAAAUAUAAAAUUGAGAUAUUUAUUAAAUUUAAGUGCUUUAUCUACUAGAUUAAAGUAUUAUUAGAAUAAUAUAGUGGGGGACAAGAAAUAAUUAUGUAAAGAGGGGGUAAUAAUGUGGUCUUCUUUGACUAUUGAAAAGGGGGGACUGUGGGACCCGUGUUGAUUGCUUUUUUACUUAAUUAAAAUCAGAAAUAGUAUAGAUAAUAAUAAAAGGUUAAAAAGUUACAUAGUAGAAGAAUAUUGGGCUGGAAAAGUAAAAAGGGUAAAAGGGUUAGUAAUAAUAGUUUAAAACUAAAAGUUAAUAGGUAAAAGAAUAGAGGAAAGAGUCUUGCUUUGGAUAUAUAAUAUGACUCAUUUAACACUUAAAAAGGGACUAGAUUUUUGAGGACGAAAAAAUAAGUUCAGUAUUUUGAGAAAUAGAAAACAAAAGGAAUUUACUUCCCUUGAUGGUGAAAGAUCAAUAAUUGUUUCUUCUUCCUCUGAUAUAGUAGUUGGUAUUUUUCUGGAAUCUUAUUGGGUCCAAGUCUCGUUUAUUUCUAGUCAUCGCCUGGGGUAUUUGAUGUAGUUGUUUGCUGCUGUUGCUGUGUAUUGCUACUGCUAUCCUGCUGAUCACUCCUCUUCUUCUUUUGCUUCUAAUAUCAGGUACACAACUGGUACACCUUGUAAGUUGAUAACAUGAAGCAUGAAUACAAAUGAAAAGUUGAAGUUUUAAUUUUAUCUACUUUUGUUACUGAAUGUAUUUAGGCCACUCUAUAUACUAUUGUUAUAUAAGUUUCUGCCAUGUUCGUAUGACAGGACAACUUGUAGUGAUGUACUAAAUAAUAUUCUAUUUUAAUUUGGUUAUUAAGUAAUAUAUGUUUAAGCAUGUUCAUUACUGUCAAACUGUUUUGAUGUUGUCAAUAGUAGGUUAAUCGCGAACAUGUAGUUUAAUCUAUUUAAGGUUUUAAUUUGAAUUAACUUCGUGAAUUAGACAUUAAGGCAUGCUUUGAGGUCAAACAAGGCGAGUUAACUAUUAAGUUUAAUAGCUUUCUCAUAAGCUUUGGUAAUUAUGAUUAAAUUUAGUUUCAAAUAGUUGUAAAUAAUUAAUUCCAAUAGUUCUUUUUUACAAUACGAG
This 2300-nucleotide long non-coding RNA is filed under the name Nicotiana benthamiana. RNAcentral's name for it is "long non-coding RNA (NBEN_LNC018090)". Lineage: Eukaryota; Viridiplantae; Streptophyta; Magnoliopsida; Solanales; Solanaceae. The record is from RNAcentral.